GACGAACGCUGGCGGCGUGCUUAACACAUGCAAGUGGAGCGACGAACCGGGGCUUGCCCCGGGCGAGAGCCGCGAACGGGUGAGUAACACGUGGGUUACCUGCCCCAAUGACCGGGACAACCCGAGGAAACUCGGGCUAAUACCGGAUGUGGUCUUCGGACGAAAGGAAGCUUCGGCCUCCGCAUUGGGAUGGGCCCGCGG
Molecule: ribosomal RNA, 201 nt
Filed under: uncultured bacterium
Lineage: Bacteria
Description: partial 16S ribosomal RNA
Rfam family: Bacterial small subunit ribosomal RNA
Source: RNAcentral